AGUUUAGCAGCUUAGUUGAUAAAGUACUCGUCUGAUAUACAAGCAUCGUGGGUUCGAAUCCCACCUGAGCAU
This 72-nucleotide transfer RNA is filed under the name Aedes aegypti (yellow fever mosquito). It matches the Rfam family "tRNA". From Rfam's summary of the family: Transfer RNA (tRNA) molecules are approximately 80 nucleotides in length. Their secondary structure includes four short double-helical elements and three loops (D, anti-codon, and T loops). Further hydrogen bonds mediate the characteristic L-shaped molecular structure. tRNAs have two regions of fundamental functional importance: the anti-codon, which is responsible for specific mRNA codon recognition, and the 3' end, to which the tRNAs corresponding amino acid is attached (by aminoacyl-tRNA synthetases). tRNAs cope with the degeneracy of the genetic code in two manners: having more than one tRNA (with a specific anti-codon) for a particular amino acid; and 'wobble' base-pairing, i.e. permitting non-standard base-pairing at the 3rd anti-codon position. The record is from Rfam by way of RNAcentral. Lineage: Eukaryota; Metazoa; Arthropoda; Insecta; Diptera; Culicidae.